UUUCGUAGUUGAAUUAUACAACCAA
RNAcentral lists this ribosomal RNA (25 nucleotides) under Isospora serinuse. RNAcentral's name for it is "large subunit ribosomal RNA". The record is from RNAcentral. RNAcentral also lists the same sequence under 1 other name. Lineage: Eukaryota; Apicomplexa; Conoidasida; Eucoccidiorida; Eimeriidae.